This 550-nucleotide ribosomal RNA is filed under the name uncultured bacterium. Its description in RNAcentral is "bacterial SSU rRNA". It matches the Rfam family "Bacterial small subunit ribosomal RNA", at positions 355 to 896 of the family's 1533-position model. The record is from RNAcentral.
UAGGGAAUCUUCGGCAAUGGACGGAAGUCUGACCGAGCAACGCCGCGUGAGUGAAGAAGGUUUUCGGAUCGUAAAGCUCUGUUGUAAGAGAAGAACGAGUGUGAGAGUGGAAAGUUCACACUGUGACGGUAUCUUACCAGAAAGGGACGGCUAACUACGUGCCAGCAGCCGCGGUAAUACGUAGGUCCCGAGCGUUAUCCGGAUUUAUUGGGCGUAAAGCGAGCGCAGGCGGUUAGAUAAGUCUGAAGUUAAAGGCUGUGGCUUAACCAUAGUACGCUUUGGAAACUGUUUAACUUGAGUGCAAGAGGGGAGAGUGGAAUUCCAUGUGUAGCGGUGAAAUGCGUAGAUAUAUGGAGGAGCACCGGUGGCGAAAGCGGCUCUCUGGCUUGUAACUGACGCUGAGGCUCGAAAGCGUGGGGAGCAAACAGGAUUAGAUACCCUGGUAGUCCACGCCGUAAACGAUGAGUGCUAGGUGUUAGACCCUUUCCGGGGUUUAGUGCCGUAGCUAACGCAUUAAGCACUCCGCCUGGGGAGUACGACCGCAAGGUUG